CCGGUCGAGAGGCGCUGCGACGGAUCACCUGGUCCGCCACGCUCGACCGCAGGCCAAGACGACGAAAGGGCGCCUUCCGUAA
RNAcentral lists this non-coding RNA (82 nucleotides) under Actinoplanes friuliensis. Its description in RNAcentral is "SAH sequence". It matches the Rfam family "SAH (S-adenosyl-L-homocysteine) riboswitch aptamer". RNAcentral also lists the same sequence under 1 other name. The record is from RNAcentral. Lineage: Bacteria; Bacillati; Actinomycetota; Actinomycetes; Micromonosporales; Micromonosporaceae.